CACGAAGUGAGUGGCGAACGGGUGAGUAACACGUGGGUAACCUGCCCAGAAGCAGGGGAUAACACCUGGAAACAGAUGCUAAUACCGUAUAACAGAGAAAACCGCAUGGUUUUCUUUUAAAAGAUGGCUCUGCUAUCACUUCUGGAUGGACCCGCGGCGUAUUAGCUAGUUGGUGAGGCAAAGGCUCACCAAGGCAGUGAUACGUAGCCGACCUGAGAGGGUAAUCGGCCACAUUGGGACUGAGACACGGCCCAGACUCCUACGGGAGGCAGCAGUAGGGAAUCUUCCACAAUGGACGCAAGUCUGAUGGAGCAACGCCGCGUGAGUGAAGAAGGGUUUCGGCUCGUAAAGCUCUGUUGUUAAAGAAGAACGUGGGUAAGAGUAACUGUUUACCCAGUGACGGUAUUUAACCAGAAAGCCACGGCUAACUACGUGCCAGCAGCCGCGGUA
RNAcentral lists this ribosomal RNA (450 nucleotides) under Pediococcus pentosaceus. RNAcentral's name for it is "bacterial SSU rRNA". It matches the Rfam family "Bacterial small subunit ribosomal RNA", at positions 85 to 522 of the family's 1533-position model. The record is from RNAcentral. Lineage: Bacteria; Bacillati; Bacillota; Bacilli; Lactobacillales; Lactobacillaceae.